GGUUCCAACUUCCGGAAAACAUUGGUUGGGGUUUUCCAAAACUUUUUUUGUAGGUGUUUAUCGGCCUGUUCCCGAAGUCAUGAGCGACGGGAGAUUAACAAAUGGGUCGGUAGGACACCCACCUAGACUAGGAAUGCAGGGUCACGCUCUGAGCUGGACAGAUGACCUGCCAGUGUGCUAUCUGUCUGGUGUUGGUUUCUCCACCAACCAGAUUUACAGAGAUGAUGGCCACCGACGAGAGGAACAUGAGUUUGAAGACAAGAGCUUCCAUUUUAGACCUUUUGAUGGCUGUUUUCUGUAUGGCAUGUUUGAUGGCCACAGUGGAAGCAAGGCUGCUAACUUUGCUGCUCAGCGGAUGCCAGCAGAGCUGUUGUUUGGGCAGCUUAACAACAAGACAUCUGAUGAAGCCAUCUUAGGGGUUUUGCGCCAGGCCUUCCAUGCUGUGGAGAAGGGGUAUUUUGAAACUAUUGAUGAUCUACUUGCUCAAAGAACAAACUGUAUGCUGGAAAUGCCCGAUGGCAUCACCCAGUACGAUGCCUUCACAAAGUAUCCCGACAUUGUGAACAAGCUUCAGCAGUUGGAUUUGGAAAUAGCAGGGGGGACAACUGCGUCUGUUGUGCUUAUCUACAAUGAAAAGCUGUAUGUGGCUAAUGUUGGUGACUCACGAGUUCUGCUUGUGGUGAAGGAGGACAACCGUGUCCGUGUCAAUCAACUCACGUACGACCACACCCUGAAUGAUGAAUCGGAGCAACGCCGUCUCACCAAACUUGGUCUGGAUGUGGAACGUCUGAAACAGCUCCGGAAGAUUGGGAACUCUGACAACACGCGCUGUAUUGGUGACUACCAUGUGAAGGGCGGUUACAAGGACAUCGAUAUUCUACGUAAUGCAACAAGUGAGCCUGUGAUAGCUGAGCCCCACCUGGAGGGAGGCGUGCCCCUGACUGGCAACACCAGCUUCCUCAUCAUCAUGUCUGAUGGGCUUUACCAGGCCUUGCAGGAUGCCACGGGCACAGAGAAGGUGAAUGUGGAGAUCACCUACAUGGUUCUCCAGGAGUUCGGGAACCAGUCCACACUGAACGGUGUGGCGCAGGCUGUUGUUGACAAAGUUGUCCGUAUACACCAUGACACAUACAUGACAGCACAAGGCUACAGGAAACAGCUAUGCCAAAAGAGAGAUGAUAUCACACUGUUAGUACGAAACUUUCACCAGCCUUUACGUAAUGGAGUUGAAAGUCCAACUGCAGCAACACGAUACAACCCUGUGCCUGUCUCUCUGCCCUCUUUCUUCAACUCCCCGCCCCCUGCAGCUGUCCCGAGUCUGAACAUCCCCAGCCCAAUUAGUCCCUCCAACAGCAACUACUCCCACUCCAACCUCUCCGUGGGCAGCUAUAGUGACUCCCAGCCCCUCACCCCUACCAACAACCCUGGCAGUCAGUACCUCACCACGGAGACCACCAUGGGCACGAGGACCAGCACCGGUACCAGCACAAACUCCACGCAGAGCUCCGGUGACGCUCGACCCUUCCAGCAGAGGUACCAGGCUCCAAAGCUGGAGCUUGAUGAGAAUGGCAGAGUGGAAGCUUAUGUGGAUUUCUCAGAGUUCUUCCGUGCCAUUGAGAGGCUUACAGGUGACCAGCAAGCAUCUUUUGAAGCAGACGUCAACCCCAAGUCCAGCUAUGAUCCCAUCAGCGAGGAAUCGGAGACUGCCACAGGACCAGAAGACUGAGAGGAUGUGAAUGAUGUGUGCACGAACGAGAACAAGGUGUGACUACAGAUAAUCAUUAGGAUGAGUGCUACUGAAUUAUCAGGAUUUCAGCAGUAGGUUUGCUGGACAACUACUCCGCAUAACUUCUAACACUUUAAUGGAUCAACGUUUCUUCAAUAUCGCUCUCAUUUUUCCACCAUCUAGAUCAUGCCAUUUAUCUUAUCUCCAUUCUGUUAUCAAAAGUACCCUGUACCCAUUUACCAAAUGCUGUCAAUAAGCAAAUAGAAAAAUAGUGGUUAUUUCACUUUUCAGCAUCCUUGCAGAGAAUGUCUCUCUCUCAUGGAUGUAUUUUAUAUGGACGUGGCUUAUUUCAAAUCAAAUGAAAAACAGUGGUAGCUAAUGGCUCCAGGAUAUUAUUGUUUACAGAAAGUUGAUAUAAUCUAGAUGAUUGAGGAUGAUUUUCUUGCUGCCAGUCACUGUAACUUGGCUCAGAAUAAUAUUUAUUGGCAUUUGUUCGAUGGACCAGUGCAUAAUGGAACAGUUCAUUGUGUAGUGGACCAGUGGUAUAAUGCAUGUGCCUGUAUGACGAGUGCAACCCUGUCAAGACCUGGAGACUGGAUCCUGCUGGACCAGUGCAACCCUGUCAAAACCUGGAGACUGGAUCCAGCUGGACCAGUGCAACCCUGUCAAGACCUGGAGACUGGAUCCAGCUGGACCAGUGCAACCCUGUCAAGACCUGGAGACUGGAUCCAGCUGGACCAGUGCAACCCUGUCAAGACCUGGAGACUGGAUCCUGCUGGACCAGUGCAACCCUGUCAAGACCUGGAGACUGGAUCCAGCUGGACCAGUGCAACCCUGUCAAAACCUGGAGACUGGAUCCUGCUGGACCAGUGCAACCCUGUCAAGACCUGGAGACUGGAUCCAGCUGGACCCGGGCAACCCUGUCAAGACCUGGAGACUGGAUCCAGCUAGCAGGUCGUUCAGCCUGGUUGUCUCAUGUCAGGAAGGUAUCAAUCAGGGAUAUGCUGUUGUCAGUACUAAGAUGUUUUGGCAGUAAAACAGUAAAUAAUAUAAUGGUGUGCACAAUAAUGACAUGUAAGGUGGGUUACGAUGCUUUACCUCAGUACUAGAGUAGAACCACCAGCAUAAUGAGUAUAAGGUUUUGGCAGCAUCCUGCUACAUGUUCCAGACUGAAGCAUUCAUUGUUAAGGAUCCAUUGUGGAGUGUCCACUGUAGAGAGUCAGUUGUGGAGCUUCCAUUGUGGGGUAUCCUAUAGAGUGUCCAGAUCACAUGCACUGCUGUAAGGCAGAUAAUCAGCAUGAUGUAUGUUGUGGAGAGUCCAUUGUGGAGCAUCCAUUGUGGAGAGUCCAUUUCCAUUGUGGAGAGUCCAUUGUGGAGAGUCCAUUGUAGAGCAUCUAUUGUGGAGCAUCCAUUGUGGAGUAUCCAUUGUGGAGAGUCCAUUGUGGGUGGAGUCCAUUGUGGAGCAUCCAUUGUGGAGAGUCGAUUGUGGAACAUCCAUUGUGGAGAGUCCACUGUAGAGCAUCCAUUGUGGAGAGUCCAUUGUGGAGCAUCCAUUGUGGAGAGUCGAUUGUGGAACAUCCAUUGUGGAGAGUCGAUUGUGGAGCAUCGAUUGUGGGGCAUCGAUUGUCCAUAUCACAUGAACUGCUGUAAGGCAGAUAAUCAGCAUGAUGUAUGUUACUGGUCAUAUACCAGAUCCAGAGUUCCUGCUGUGAGUUGAUGUGUGUGAGAUCUGCUGCUUUAGUGUGGUGCUGUAUGCGUAUCAUCAGCUUAGUAACUGCGUGUACAGUAGAUGUGUAUUGGUUUACACAUAUGCAAGUGAUGAACAAUAUAUUUUAUUAUCUAAAAACCAAUUUUAUACAUUGUCUAAAGAUAUUAACGUUCAUGUAACUGCCAGACUGACUUGAACAUAGUGCAUUUAGCAGUAUGUUUAGAUAGGUUUUGAAAAACAAAUGUCUCAUCCUGUUUUUUUACCCUGAAUAACCAGACAACCGUAAACCAUGACUUAAAAAACCAUUUGGCCUUGAAGUUAUAAUGUGCAUGUGUGGAAGUUCCACCUGACUGUAACAAUAGCUGGCUGGGGUGAAUGCCUUGUAUGUAUAGAUGUGUCAUCUGUGUCAAGAUCUCAGUAAAUCCGAUCUAUUACUCUGAUGUCACUCUGAGAUAUGAAAACCCCUCACGAAAACUGUGUCAAUUUGUGCCAAGGCUGCUGAAUUCUGGGUUUAUCAAGUUUCUGUGUCUCGUCUGCACAGACAGUCCUGAAUGUAAAGAAAAGAGCCACACCAUUAUAUUGUGGAUAUCUUAGACACUUUUGCUUCUUUCCAUAAAAACAAAUCAAAAUUAGUACCAUCAGAGCAGUGUUUGGGUUCACUGGUAAAACAUAAAUUUCUUAAUUGAGGUGGUCAUGGAAAGAAGCCAUAUCAUAUAUAAAACCCAAGAUCUAAUUGGCUAAAUAGCCAUCACAUCCUUCAUUUUGAAUCUGUUUUGAGGGCUCAUAAAAACUUCUGUGGAGGUUUCCUGAGAUCUCCACCUAGAGAGGUAUCCUAUGAGGAAAGAACAUCUAAUUAUAUUAAGAUAGACUCUCACUGCUUUGUUCAGCUCUGCUUUGUAGGGGAGUAGAACAAGUGGUUGUCUGUCAGACCAAAAACCUGGUUUGUUUCCCCAAGCGGUGACAAUAUGUGAUGCCCCUUUUGGGUGUCCCUGCUGUGAUAGUGCUAACAUCGUGUUAGAAUAUAGUGUAGAUAUGUAACUGUAAUCAACUUGUAUAUAGAUUUAAUGUGUGUUUUAUGUAUGUAAAUAGUGUAAAUCACUUGUAAAGUCUAUUUCCAGUGUCAUUUCUUUGUAAGUGCAAUUUUUAAUAGACACUGUUAAGUAUGAGGUAAAUGACAUUGUUGAGAUUCAGUUUGUUUCUUGUAAAAACUAUCACAUAUAUAAUCAAGCAUGUCAUUUAGAAUAUACACCAUUGAACUU
Molecule: unclassified non-coding RNA, 4693 nt
Filed under: Haliotis rubra (blacklip abalone)
Lineage: Eukaryota; Metazoa; Mollusca; Gastropoda; Lepetellida; Haliotidae
Description: tGF-beta-activated kinase 1 and MAP3K7-binding protein 1-like, transcript variant X1
Source: RNAcentral